RNAcentral lists this long non-coding RNA (299 nucleotides) under Coffea arabica (coffee). Its description in RNAcentral is "long non-coding RNA (CARA_LNC006789)". Lineage: Eukaryota; Viridiplantae; Streptophyta; Magnoliopsida; Gentianales; Rubiaceae. The record is from RNAcentral.
CACUUAAACACGGCGGAUGGCCUCGCAAAUCCGGAGGAAGAACGUCUCUUGAUCCACAAAGAGUCCAUUGAUUUGGCAGCACUUGGAAUUUGCGAUGAUUGAGAGGGAAAACGUCUCACGAUCCACCACUUCGACUUGACAACUUGAAGAUUCAGUAACACACACUUGAGGAUUUGAUGACUUGAAAGGUUGAGGGACUUGAUGUAGACUUGAGGGACUUGAAGUAGAAUUUCUCCAGCAGCGACUUGAAGCGAAAUUUCUCCAGAAGCUUGUCUCAUCUCCUGUUUGUCCGUAUGUCC